This is a long non-coding RNA of Alligator mississippiensis (American alligator), 1492 nucleotides long. RefSeq lists it as uncharacterized. The transcript is spliced from 3 exons. NCBI's taxonomy places the organism in Eukaryota, Metazoa, Chordata, Crocodylia, Alligatoridae. The record is from RefSeq and is a predicted model, not a curated record.
GUGUAGGCCCAGCAGUUCCCUCCUAUCCCUUGCAGCAUAUACCACAGCUGGCUUUGAACAGAGAUUUUGACAGGCUGCCAACAUUUCCCCGUGGCUUUACAAAGCAGGGAAAGGAAGUGACAACAAAUCUACAUGGACCGUAGCCAGAUGAAACAACAGUACUUCGCUAAGUGAUGGCAAUUACCCCUCCUGAGUAUCAAAGUCCUCUGCUGCAAGAACAGAGAGGUAUGAGAGCUUCUAUGAAGGACAUGGGGAGGAUAUUUUCAUAGUCUACAGCACACAGGAAGCAUUUCAAGAUUUUUUACCUCUCCUUAUGAGACUCAGGCCUGUAGCUCAGGACAAAGAGUGCUAUAAAGAUUCUAGGCUCUGCAGCAACCUACAUGCAAAUGAGGCAAGUCUACCAUACAACAGCCUCUGGACUGGCUAACCUCAUGUCUGAUGCACUACCAGCUCCUGUAGAAGUGAAGAAACCAGAUAAAGCAACUGAAAAGCCUGGUGACUGAAAACCUCUUGUGUUUCCCCCUUCUCCUGCUGGGAUACUUCUCUAUUAAUCUGGCUUUCUUGGAAGACGCCACAGGAUGGGAGUACUCAAAGACUGUUUUAUUUCAACUAAAGCUAAAACUAUUAGAUUUUGUUAAACCAAUGCAAGCUUUUAUUUGAACACACUUAAAUGAGCUAAGUGAUUUCUAUUAAAUGUAAUUUUGUAAAAUCAAGAAUUUUUUUAGUUAAACCAGUGAAAAUUGCAUGCAUAGAUCAAGCCCAGGAAACAUUCUGAACUGCAUCUGUAGUCAGAAAAGUUUAUGUAAAUAUGGCACUCUGAUUCACUGGAUCUACUCAUUACGGCUUUAAUAAGAGUCACAUCUGCCUAAGCUUAGUAACUAAAAUGAUUUAAUGCAUUCUAUUUUAGUUGACUUAUUAACAGAGUUCUUAACUAUAUACCAAUCACAGAAUCAUUACUGGCCAUGGCACGAGUCACAAAACAACUUAAUGCAAUUCCAAGAUACCACAUAACUUUUCAGGUUCAGCAAUGGAAGAACUUUUGAUUUAUAACCCAUAAACCCAUAGCAAAGCAAAUGAUAUCUCCUGCUAGGCAGAGAGAUCUAGAUAUAUGCCAGUCACCUUAAGUCUGCUGUGGAGAAUUGCUGGAAAACAGCUUAGGGAGGACAUGGACAUUAAUGAAGAAUACUGAGACUCAGUUCCUAAGCCUGAGGGCACAGACAGAAGUGCAGCUCUCUGCUAUAACAGAACCUUUUGUAGGAAGCGUUCUGAGUUACAACAAUUCCCCAGACCAAACAGAAAUUCACUGUUGAUUCCAGAGGGGAGGGGAAUCUAGCAGCUGGCUGUGAGCCUGCAGCUGGUUUGCAACAGCCCCCUCCUUCCCGCCAGCUUUCUGCCAGCCACUGCUGGUUUCAGAAUGGGAGGGAGGAAAGGGAGCAGAGGGAGCCUGUUCUAGGGUUUCCCAGACAGCCUUGGAGGGUAGGGUGGGUGAAUU